UAGGGAAUCUUCGGCAAUGGACGAAAGUCUGACCGAGCAACGCCGCGUGAGUGAAGAAGGUUUUCGGAUCGUAAAACUCUGUUGUUAGAGAAGAACAAGGACGUUAGUAACUGAACGUCCCCUGACGGUAUCUAACCAGAAAGCCACGGCUAACUACGUGCCAGCAGCCGCGGUAAUACGUAGGUGGCAAGCGUUGUCCGGAUUUAUUGGGCGUAAAGCGAGCGCAGGCGGUUUCUUAAGUCUGAUGUGAAAGCCCCCGGCUCAACCGGGGAGGGUCAUUGGAAACUGGGGACCUUGAUUGCAGAAGAGGAGGGUGAAAUUCCUUUGUUAGCGGUGAAUGCGUAGAUAUAUGGAGGAACACCAGUGGCGAAGGCGGCUCUCUGGUCUGUAACUGACGCUGAGGCUCGAAAGCGUGGGGAGCAAACAGG
This 428-nucleotide ribosomal RNA is filed under the name Gemmatimonadota bacterium. Its description in RNAcentral is "Gemmatimonadetes bacterium partial 16S ribosomal RNA". It matches the Rfam family "Bacterial small subunit ribosomal RNA", at positions 355 to 776 of the family's 1533-position model. The record is from RNAcentral. Lineage: Bacteria; Pseudomonadati; Gemmatimonadota.